Molecule: ribosomal RNA, 565 nt
Filed under: uncultured bacterium
Lineage: Bacteria
Description: bacterial SSU rRNA
Rfam family: Bacterial small subunit ribosomal RNA
Source: RNAcentral
CUCCUACGGGAGGCAGCAGUGGGGAAUCUUGCACAAUGGGGGAAACCCUGAUGCAGCGACGCCGCGUGAGCGAUGAAGCCCUUCGGGGUGUAAAGCUCUUUCGGCAGGAACGAUAAUGACGGUACCUGCAAAAGAAGCUGCGGCUAACUACGUGCCAGCAGCCGCGGUAAUACGUAGGCAGCAAGCGUUGUUCGGAGUUACUGGGCGUAAAGAGUAUGUAGGCGGUUUGCCAAGUCCGGCGUGAAAUCUCCCGGCUCAACUGGGAGGGUGCGCCGGAUACUGGUAGGCUAGAGUGCGGGAGAGGAGAGCGGAAUUCCUGGUGUAGCGGUGAAAUGCGUAGAUAUCAGGAGGAACACCGGUGGCGAAGGCGGUUCUCUGGACAUUUCCUGACGCUGAGAAGCGAAAGCGUGGGUAGCAAACAGGCUUAGAUACCCUGGUAGUCCACGCCGUAAACGGUGGGUACUAGGUGUGGGGGACAUUCCACGUUCUCCGUGCCGCAGCUAACGCAUUAAGUACCCCGCCUGGGGAGUACGGCCGCAAGGCUAAAACUCAAAGGAAUUGACGG